RNAcentral lists this long non-coding RNA (242 nucleotides) under Nicotiana benthamiana. RNAcentral describes it as "long non-coding RNA (NBEN_LNC001117)". The record is from RNAcentral. Lineage: Eukaryota; Viridiplantae; Streptophyta; Magnoliopsida; Solanales; Solanaceae.
GCCAGCCGCUCACAACUCCUCACCGGGGCAUCAGGACUUCUCCUCCGCACAUGCCCGAACCAACUCACCCUCGCUUCUCGCAUCUUCUCAUCCACCGGGACCACCCCCGCCUUCUGCCGAAUAACUUCAUUCUUAAUCUUAUCUAACCUGGUGAGCCCGCACAUCCACCUGAGCAUCUCCAUCUCCGCAACCUUCAUUCUCUGAACAUGAGAGUUCUUCACUGGCCAGCACUCCGCCUCAUA